CCAAAUAUUAGUAGAUUUCAACAAACAUUGUAUUGAUUAGAAAAGUGGUUCAAACUGCUAGUACGAUGUCACUAUAUAAUACAUAUCAACAAUAUCAUUUAGGAAUCAUAAUUAUUUUCGAAAUUGCAUCAGAAAUUAGAAUUUAACAUUUAUUUGUGAGCUGCAGUAACCUCAAAGGCUUGAAAUUGGACAAACACAAAAUAUGCACAC
RNAcentral lists this long non-coding RNA (210 nucleotides) under Mytilus galloprovincialis (Mediterranean mussel). Lineage: Eukaryota; Metazoa; Mollusca; Bivalvia; Mytilida; Mytilidae. The record is from RNAcentral.